Molecule: unclassified non-coding RNA, 309 nt
Filed under: uncultured fungus
Lineage: Eukaryota; Fungi
Description: partial contains small subunit ribosomal RNA, internal transcribed spacer 1, and 5.8S ribosomal RNA
Rfam family: Eukaryotic small subunit ribosomal RNA (bases 1-73)
Source: RNAcentral
GCAAACUUGGUCAUUUAGAGGAAGUAAAAGUCGUAACAAGGUUUCCGUAGGUGAACCUGCGGAAGGAUCAUUAGAGAUUUUUACUGGCUACUCGGCAGAGCCGAGUAGGGGAGUAAAAUUGUUGGCGGUCAGCCAACCAUCAUGCUCGCCUACUCGACUGUUUCUCUAGCUUUUACUGGCUACUCGGCAAAGCCGAGUAGGGAGUUAAGCAGUAGGGAGUCAACUUUAUUACUACUGAAUCAUUAGCAAAACACAUGAGAACCUCGGCGCAAUGGAUCUCUCGGCUCUUGCAUCGAUGAAGAACGCAGC